GUUAGUCGCAGGUGUGUUUUAAAAAGUUUUACCGUUUAUUUUUAGACUAAUAUUUUAAUGUGUUGUGCUUGAAGAACGUUGUUUAUUACAUAUUAAAUUAAAAUAUUUAUUUUCAGACGAAAAAUAAAAUCUUUAAACAAUUUCUGUCUGUAUUUACUUGUUCAAUUGCCAGUGAAACGAACGAUAGAAAAGAAGAAGCAUUCAACUGUUUACCGUUUGGCUCCUGUCCCUAUCUAAUCUACUGGGUUUAAAAUAAAAGGACCGCGCUGGAAACAUGAGGGGGUAAAAAGAUACAGCCCUUUUUGAAUUAUUAGUCGAAGUUGUAACCAGCUCGUAUGAAAAGAGUUCUCGACGUGAAAUAGUUAACUUUAUUCAACAACGCCAAGAAACAGAGAUCGCUCAAGAAACAGAAGAGAAAGAGAAAGAUGAAAAAAUAUUCUGUUGAACAAUACUGUUGUUUUAUUUAUAAAUUAUUCUCCUAUGUUUAAACAUAUAAAA
Molecule: long non-coding RNA, 498 nt
Organism: Hydra vulgaris (swiftwater hydra)
Lineage: Eukaryota; Metazoa; Cnidaria; Hydrozoa; Anthoathecata; Hydridae
Source: RefSeq, a predicted model, not a curated record